This 1857-nucleotide ribosomal RNA is filed under the name Janus sp. 1 GYN-2022e. RNAcentral describes it as "16S ribosomal RNA". The record is from RNAcentral. Lineage: Eukaryota; Metazoa; Arthropoda; Insecta; Hymenoptera; Cephidae.
UUAUUAUGAAUAAUUUUAUUAGUUGAUAAAAAAUUUUUAAUUUUAUUUAUUUAAUAUUUUAUUAUUAUUAAAAGUAAUAUUUAAAAUUUUAAGAUUAAAUCUUUUACUAGGGUAAUAAAUAUAUUAUUUAUUUAUAGUAAAUAAAGAGUUAAAGUAAAUUAUUAUUUAAUGUGUAAAAAUUAUAUUAUGAAUAAAUUAUUUAUUGUUUAAAUGUAAAUGUUUAUUUGAAAUAUUAUUUAAAAUUUAAAUAUUAAUAAGUUAAAUUAGAUUUUUGUACCUUUUGUAUCAGGGUUUAUUAAAAAAAUUUUAAUAUAUUUAAAAUUCUCGAAUUAAUUAGAGUUAAUAUGUUAUUUAAUUUAAUGUUUAAUUAUUAUUUAUAAUAAUAUAUUAGAGGAGAUAUUCUAGUCGAUGAUUAAGAUAUCUAGUUUUUUUAGAAGUGAAUUUAAUUUAUUUAUUAAAUUUUGAUAUUGUUAUUUUUUAUAAAUUUUUGGUAAAAAAAAAUAAAAAAUUUUAUUUAUUUUUUAAUUAAUUAUAUUUAUAUGGUAAAAUAUAAAUAUAUUAAAUUAAUGUAUUUAUAUAUAUAUAUAUAAUUUUAUAUAAGAUUAAUUUGUUUAAUAAAAAAAAUUUAAGGGAUUAGCUUUAAAUUUAUUUCUAUAAAUUAUUAUUUUAAUUAAGUUAUGGAAGGGGAGUAAGGGUUAAAAUUAAUUAUUCUUGUUAAAAUAAAAUGAAGGAGGUAAUAAUGAUGGGUUAAAAAUUAUAUAAUUUUUUUAUUUUUAUUUUAUUAUAAAUAUAAUAUAUGUAAUUAUAUAUUAUGUUUAACUUAAGUGAUGGGUAAUGUUAUUAUAAAUUAUAGAUUUAAAAAUAGUUAUUAAUUAAAUUAUGUAAUAAUUUAUUUUAAUUUAUAUAUGAAUUUAUUUUAAUUAUUUUAGAUAUUUAUAAAAAUGAUAUUUAAUUAAUAAUUAAUUUUAAUUAAUAAUGAUAAAAUUAUUAUAAUUUAUAUAAGUUUGUAAAUUUUUAAAAUUUAAAAUGUAAUUUAAUUAAUGUUAGUUAAUUAUUUAUAUUAAGAUUUAAAUAUGAUUAUAAGGAACUAGACAAAUAAAAAUAUUUACCUGUUUAACAAAAACAUGUCUUUUUGAUUUAAUAAUUUAAAGUCUAAUCUGCCCAAUGAAUUUUAGUUUUAAAUGGCCGCGGUAUUUUGACCGUGCAAAGGUAGCAUAAUCAUUAGUUUUUUAAUUGGAAGCUUGUAUGAAAGAUUGGAUAAGAUAUUGAUUGUCUCAUUUUUAUUAAAGUUAAAAUUUAAUUUUUAGGUUAAAAAGCUUAAAUUUUAUUAUAGGACGAGAAGACCCUAUAGAUUUUUAUAAAAUUUAUAUUAUUAUUAUUAUAUAAAUUUAUUUAUAUAAUUAUUAUAUUUUUAUUUUGUUGGGGUGACAGUAAAAUUAAAUUAACUUUUAUGAUUAUUUUACAUUAAUGUAUGAAUUUUAUUUAUUUAAUUAAUAUAAAGUUAUUAAUUAGUUUUAGUAAUUAUUAAAUAAUUUUAAUUUUUAUAAAUAUUUUUGAUCCUAAAUUUUAGAUUAUUAAAUUAAAAUACCUUAGGGAUAACAGCGUUAUUUAUUUGGAGAGAUCAUAUUAAUAAAUAAGUUUGCGACCUCGAUGUUGAAUUAAGAUAAUUCUUGGGUGUAGAUACUUAAGUAAAUAGGUCUGUUCGACCUUUAAAUUCUUACAUGAUUUGAGUUCAGAUCGGCGUGAGCCAGAUCGGAUUCUAUCCUUAAUUAAUUAGUUAAAUAUUUUUGUACGAAAGGACUUUAUAUUUUAAAUAUACUUUUAUAUAUGAAUUGAAUUAAAUUAAUGGGAGGUAAA